This is an RNA transcript of Bombus impatiens (common eastern bumble bee), 1372 nucleotides long. It is a transcript of the gene named ubiquitin-fold modifier 1, with no coding region annotated. The record is from RefSeq and is a predicted model, not a curated record. Lineage: Eukaryota; Metazoa; Arthropoda; Insecta; Hymenoptera; Apidae. The transcript has 3 exons.
UUAGUUACUCUGGUGCGAGACAUCAUUUUAUUGAAUCAUAAGAUUCAUGUUCUUUAUGUGUAAAUAAAAAUAACACAAAUAUGUCAGAGGCUGAUUUUCUUGAAGUAUUGAAAAUGUUUAACACUUUUCUUGUACUCAUAGAAAAUCCGAGAGUUAGCCAAGAAACAAGUAUUGAGAAUGUUAUCAAAGCUUUUCAAUGUGCUCAGUUUAUUGAAGUCACAAUUGCUAAAGCAUAUGAAAUAGGCAAAGAAAAUGUCCUUGAUAAUAAUCUUCACAGCCAUUGGUUAAAGGAAAGUAGAUCAAAUUUGUAUAAAUGUUCUGAAUUGAAAAAUGCUUGUGAUAAAUUACUAGAGGUCUAUUUGAAAGACACUAACAUAUCAACUGAUAUUGUGGAUGAAUUUUUAAAAUUGUACAUUCAAUAUUGUGGCAAUGAGAGAUUCAAUGAUUUUCUUAGACGAAUAUUAGUUAAUGGAAUCUGUACAAAUAUAGUUAUAGAGUCUUUAGAAAAGUUAGGUGUCUCUGCUUUGGACAUGCAGGAUGAAGCUUUAAUCAUUUCUUGGGAAUCUUUAAUUAGUAAUGGUAAUGAGUAUGAGGUUUUGGAAUAUAUUCAUAAAAUGGUUAAUGAUGGUUUUCAUUCGAAAUUAGUUCACUUUGCUGCUAAUUUAUAUAACAACAGCAAAAGUAAGGCGUUAAUAGUUCAGGUAUUGUCAAACAGACUUGUCCACAAUGAUACAAAUGUUUGUUUAGCUCUUACAAAGGUAAAACAAAAAUUGCUUUGGAAGUUGAUGCAAAAAUAUUCAGAGUUUUACACAAAUUUCCUUGAUAGCAUAUUUUACUUUGCUCGUCAUAUGAAACAAGUUGAAAAUCAGUGGAUAUCAAAUUGUGAAUUCAAAUAUGAGCAUCUUGUCAAAGUAAUAGAAGUAUUAUUAAAUGGUCCUACAGAAAUUUCAGAAAUAAUGUACAACAGAAUGAAAUUAGUAAAAACACAUCCCAAUGGUACAAUAUGGCAUAAAAUUGAAAAAGAUAUUGGAUGACUUAGUGUGCCAGAUAAUACACCUUUCACUGCUGUAUUAAAAUUUGCUGCUGAAGAAUUUAAAGUAUCUCCAGCAACAUCUGCCAUAAUCACAGAUGAUGGAAUAGGUAUCAAUCCACAACAAACAGCAGGAAACAUUUUUCUUAAACAUGGAUCUGAACUCAGAUUAAUUCCAAGAGAUAGAGUUGGAUAAUUACUUCUUAAAAUAAACAUCUAUAUAUAAAUUAUUUCUUUGUUGCACUUCUCACCAAUAAGUGUAAAAAAGGAACUACUUUUUCAUAUAAAAUUUGUUGUUCACAUAAAUUUAAAUAAAACAUUCCUGAAGUUUUAUAAAUUGUA